UCAGUCUGAGGAUUUGUAGAGACAGGAUCUCGCCCCGCUUUCGGCUAAGGAUUUCACAGAGUACAGCACUGGAAGGCAGAGACAGGAGGAUUUCUCGGGCUUGCUGACCAGUUACUCUAACCUUGUAGCAUCUCAGUCAAGCCCAGGCAGCCCUCAGACUCACAGAAACCCACCUGCUUCAUCAUUCUCAAUGCUGGGAUUAUAGGAGUGAGCUGCCACACCCGAGUCGAAACUUCGUUAAAUAAAGCGCAGGCAUCGCUCUUCCUGCAGGCUUCUGCCUCUGUUAAGUGAAUAGGUGAUUCAGAAAGAAUAGUGACAGUGUGACACUUAAUGGGAUAACCAAAACAGGUACUCAGUGACCAGAGAGCAGCUGAGUGUAAACACACUGGACAAAGGGAAGUUUAGAUCCUCGGUGGAGAGAGGCAGGACAAUGAUGCCACGGGAUGCUGUCAUGCAACUUGAGAAUGACACCAGUUUACAAUUAUAAAUUGUUUGCUUUUGGCAUUUCACAUCUAAUAUUUUUGGUUAUUUUAGGUAACUAAAUUCAGGGAAAACGAACCACAAGUAAGGAAGGAGUACUGUGUUCUUUGUCUUAUCUGUUUGUUUAUUUUGAGAUUUUACUGUAUCUAAAAUCUUUAUAAAGAAAGCCUGUUGGUUAAUAAAGUAGCGGGGGAAACAUAAAAAUAGUUUCAGGGCAGAAAGAAAGAAGGGAAGGAGUUAGGAGGAGAAAGUAAAGGUAACAAGAAAAAGAUGGGAAAAGGCUCCAUGGGUAAAGCACUUGCCAUGUACGCACAGGACCCGAGUCUAGACCCACGUAGAGCUGGGUGCAGAGGUGAAUCUGUAACCACAGACCUGCUACAGAGAGAUGGGAGGCAGAGACAGAGAAAUGCAGAGACCUCGCGGUCCAGCAUUCUGGUGUUUGCAGCAGUGAACAACAGGAGACCCUGUCUCUAACACAGUGGAAGGCAAGGAUUUCCAUGUGUGCAACAUGGUAAAGACACACACACACACACACACACACACACACACACACACACACACACGAUUAAGAAAGAAAUUGCUAAGAUAAGCACUGGGUUGGCUUUUGGCUGUAGGUACAGUUCUUCAGUUCUUCUGUUAUAUCCCUUGGGACUAUUACUGCCUCAGGUCAAGUUGGCCUUGGAUUCUUCGGACUCUUGAACAAUUGGUGUAGUUUCAAUGUUUGUUGAAAAUUCAUGUUGAAAUUUCAUACCCAGUGCAAUAGUAUUGAGAGCUGGGGGCCUUCUGGGGUGAUUAAGCCAUGAGGGCCUCUACCUUCCAGCAUAGGAUUAGUGUUCUUACAGAAGGGAUUGAGAGAGGGAGUUAGGCCCUAUUUUGUCUUUCUAUAACAUUUACCCUGACACCAACUGAAGAUGCAGCCAUCUUGAAAGAGAGUAAUUCCUCACCAGGCACAGACUCAGACUCUGUUGGUCACCGGGCUUCUCUAAUGAGAGCUAUUGGGGUCCAGCCCCUUGAUAGCUUUCUCCCAGAGUUCCAGAAGGGACGCUGCUAGCGGCAGAUUAAUUAAUCUGAGGGAUUCUCGAAUAUCUAUGCACAUGGAACUCUUUAGUCCACUCUCUUCAUUCUUCUGAGUCAGUUCCCUCUCUUCACAGCUUCUUCUCUGCUCUCUUAUUUAGCUCCUUUCUUGCCUGAUUUCUACCUACAUUUUUCUCCUAUUUCCUCUAAGUGCUAUCUUAAUUCCUUCAUCUAGUCCUAUCCCAUCUAGUUUCUCAUAGCUAGAUGCACCCGGUAAUUGUUAAAGGGAGAUCUAGAAUUAGAGAUAAAAAUUGGAAAAGGAGAAAGUUAAGCUUAAUUAUCCCAUUCACUUGACCUGGGCAAUUGACAGUGUGAAUCUUUACCUCCUCUGACAGAUGGUCUAUUCUUAAAAAGUCUAGGAAGUUUCUCAGAUAAGAUACUUUUGUCUGGAGAUGGUUCUGGCCAGAUGGUGCUAAUGAUGAUAAAAUGAUGAUAAUUACAGAGAGGCUUGAAAUUGGGGGUCUGGCUGUGUUGCUGCAUUAGCACAGUUGGGGAAGGUUGUCCAAAUAUUCCAAUAGCAUAGGGGAAAUUGUGCCCAGUGAAUGAUCAACACAUUGUUCUAGAAAUGGAGAAGCUACAAGAGAAUGCAAGAAAUUAAUGAAAACAGCUUAAUAUUCAAGAGCCAAUAUCACCAAGACUCCUUGAACCUUGGCUUUAACUCUGGGGGUGGGGGUGCCUUGGCUUCUUCCAGGUAUUAGCUUUUGCCAUAGUCAGCUGAAUUCCUACUUCAUAUUUCUGUGGCUCCCAGCACGUCUCAGCCUCUAUGACUGAAAGAAAUGUGUUUCCGUUGUUUCUAAUUAUCCAUGUUAGAGUGCUUUCAUCGCAGCACCGGAAACAGUCUAGGACAUACCGUUUCUUUUGGUUCAGUCAUGCUGUUAGGAGGAUGUCCUGCUACCUGCAGGCUUGGUUUACCCCUUCCAGACUCGAAGGUUGGAAAUGAAGUUCUGAGGUCCUGACUCAGGUCCAGCUUCAUGAAAAAAGCCUGGAGUUUAGAUUUAAGUCACCAAGGCUCCUGCAUUAGCAGGAUGCACCCUUUUCUCUGAUACAGUCUACUAUAGAAGGGAGUUCAAACACCGUCUGUGCCAUUGUUGCUACUCUGGAUUCAGUUACUCCUCAGAGGCUCUUGCUUUUUGCUCUUUAUAAUAUUCCAAAUGGGACUUCAACUUCUUAAAAUGAAUUCAAGGUUUUAUGAAAGUAUAUAUUAUAUGCUGAACAUACACCCAUAGCCCCUCAUCCUUCUUCCUCUCCCAUUAGUCCUUUCUGUCUCCAUAGACAGUUUACUUCUUCUCUCAAGCCAUACAUGCAAGCAUGAUUUUAUGUAUCUAUAUAAAAUCUAGGACCCACAAAUGAGAGAAAGCAUAUGGUAUUUAUCUUUCUGAGACUGACUUAACUCACUUAAUUGGAUCAUCUCCACCAGCUUCAUCCAUUUUCUCAAAAAUGACAUGUCUUUAUUCCUUUUUCAUGGCCAACAAAUAUUCCAUUGUGUAGAUAUACCUGCAUCACAUCUUCUAAAUCCAUUCCCGUUGGUAGGCUUCGUAAUCUAGCUGUUGUGAGUAGUGUAGACACUGAUGUUCAAGUAUCACCAUGCUGUGUUGACUUGGAGGCUUUUAGGUAAAUACCCUGGGGUGGUACAUUUGGGUCGUAGGGAAGAUCUAUUGCUAGUUGUUUGAGGAAGCGCCAUACUGAGUUGCAUAGUGGCUGGAUUAGUUUAUGUUCCCACCAGCAGCAUCUAGGAGUUCUCUCUUCACAGCCUCAGCAGCAUUUGUUGUUAUUUAUUUUCUUAAUGGCCAUCAUUCUGAUCAGAGGAAGAUAUAAUCUCAGUGCCAUUUUGAUUUGUGUUUUUUUGAUGACCGUUGACUAACCUGGAUUUUUUUUCCCCUGGAUUACACCAGGCUUUCAUAAUUACAGACAAAAGAUGAGUUAGCCAGCUUUCAGAGUCUUAGCCAUCUAAGAGAUACAUAGACAGUCCAAGAAACUGACAACAGAGACCAAGGCAGCAGGCCCAGAAGAGGGUUCUAUGCCACAAGCAUCCCCAAGCCAUGGGUUGCUAACAGAUCCCAUUUAUUCAGCACUCAUGUUGGGUCUUGCCUGAGUAGUCAGUGAAAGCUCAGGUUGGGAAGAAAAGACUGAUCCUUCCAGAAACAGACAAGGCUCAUUAUUGGUCUUUUGGCUUGGACUGGAGCAUCAGGAUAGUAAUUUGGAGGUGACUGAUCCUAAACGCACCAAGACUGGCUACCGAGCAGAUACAGUGGCAGCAAAUUCAAGGGAGCCCCUUCAGUGACUCUUACUAGCAUUGAGGGUUCCAGACAUUCUAGUGCCACACAAACAAGUCCUAGCCCCCAGAUGCAGACCACAAAGCUGCAGUUUCCAUGUGGAUUGGCUUGAAGGGAGAUCGGAGAGAAAAGAAGUGGAAGAGACAGCCUACUACAAAAAAAGUUUGUUUUUUGUUUUUUCCUACAAAACGUAUUUUCUCUCAAAAGUAGUUAGUUGGCUUUCAUUUUUAAAUUUUAUUUACGCAAUUUUUGAAAUUCUCUAUCAAAGGUAGUUAACCCAGCAAAGACUCAUAUUUCCUGUGCCUUCUCCACCCACUUGGUACUGAUCAACCAACUGCAUCAGGUUGUGAAGCUGAGCUCCCACCAAUCGGAUGAGCCACAGUCAAUCACCUAUGUCAGGCAUAAAAGACAGAAGCCAACUUGGCCAAAGUGUGCUUGCCAGCCAGGCCAGGGUCUUGGGGUAGCCUUUUAACACAAAGAAUUGCCUGGCCAAGCUCUUUCAGCUUUGGUGGUGUGUUCCUCUGUCUGACAGGGAGAUUGACGUGACUGUGUGUCUCCAGCACCUCCCUAGAGCACUGCUCAGCUCCGGACCCAGCAACCGUCCUUCUCCCUCAGGACCACUAGCAACCCCUGUCUUCAAGGGCUGCUCUCGGGCUGCAGAGACUGAGGUCACAGAAGUUGGCUAUCUUGCCCAAGGUCAAGCAGCUGAAGAUGGAGCUGGGAUUCAGUUUUCUGGCACCUGGACUCCAGAAUUUACUCUCUCGAUCCCCUACUCUUGCUAUUCAAAGUGCGGUCUCCUGGACAGGAACAUUGGCAAUGGGCUCACAACGUUUCCUGCUGUUAAUGGGUCUGAGUGCUCCGCAUUGUGAUGUUUUCCCUCAGUGUUCCAAUCAUGAUCAAAACGUAACUGCCUACCACUGACCUCUGGUUCUCCGGCACAUUGACCAGUCCUUUCAGAAAUGAUAUGGCACUUAUCUGGCUGAGAAUGAAUAUUCGGCUCCAGAAUCAAAGAGCUCUGGUAUUGGUGGAGGGUCCUAGGGGUCAGCUACUAUCUUAUCUCAUGGCUCCUAAACCCAAGGUGCCAUCUCUGGGUCUCCAAGGGCUCUCUUAUAGUGUGUCCCUUCAGGCCUUUCUAGGUUCAGAGAAUGGGACUCUGCUGGGGUUAGUCUUUUAAUAAACUUUCUAUCAAAAUUAACUUUCGUCAUUCAGCCUGUGUCUGGACAUCUCCCAUGUCAGAGAUCCCACUCCCUAGCCAGGGACCC
Peromyscus maniculatus bairdii (prairie deer mouse) is the source of this 5089-nucleotide non-coding RNA. NCBI's taxonomy places the organism in Eukaryota, Metazoa, Chordata, Mammalia, Rodentia, Cricetidae. The record is from RefSeq and is a predicted model, not a curated record.